ACUCCCAGUGGUACCCAGUAAGGUCCCAGUAAGGUCCCAGCAGCACCCAUUAAGAGCCCAGUAAGGUCCCAGCAGCACCCAGUAAGGUCCCAAGGCACCCAGUUACUCCCAGUGACACCCUGUUACUCCCAGUGACACCCAGUAAGGUCUCAGUGACACCCAGUAAGGCCCCAGUUAGGUCCCAGGGCACCCAGGAAGGUCCCAGUGAGGUCCCAGGGCACCCAGUUACUCCCAGUGACACCCAGUAAGGUCCCAGUGACACCCAGUAAGGUCCCAGUGAGGUCCCAGAGCACCCAGUCACUCCCAGUGGCACCCAGCAAGGUCCCAGCAGCACGCAGUGAGCCCAGUAAGCUCCCACUGACACCCAGUAAGAGCCCAGUAAGAUCCCAGCAGCAUGCAGUGAGGUCCCAGUAGCACUCAGUCGCUCCCAGUAAGACCCCAGCAACCCCCCACUGACAUCCCCAUGACAUGCCCCAGUCCCCCCAGCCCCUCCCAGCCCCCCCCAGUCCCUCCUAGUCCUCCCAGUCCCCCCCAACGACACCAGUAGGGGCCACCCCACCGGGCCAGGGUCACCCUGUGGGUCUCGGAGCUGCUGUGGGUUGCGGUGUUGCUAUGGGUCACGGUACCUCUAUGGGUCUCAGAACCGCUAUGGGUCAUGGUGCUGCGGGUGACAGUGUUGCUAUGGGUCACGGUGCCUCUAUGGGUCGCGGUGCUGUGGGUCGCAGUACCCCUAUGGGUCGCGGUACCUCUACGGGUCGCAGUGCCUCCAUGGGUCACGGUGCUGUGGGUCACGGUACCUCUAUGGGUCGCGGUGCCCCUAUGGGUCGUGGUGCUGUGGGUCACGGUACCUCUAUGGGUCACGGUACCCCUAUGGGUUGCGGUACUGUGGGUGACGGCGCCUCCAUGGGUCGUGGUGCCCCUACGGGUCGCGGUGCCUCCAUGGGUCACAUUACCUCCAUGGGUCACAUUACCUCUAUGGGUUGCGUUACCUCUAUGGGUCGCGUUACCUCCAUGGGUCGCGGUGCCUCCAUGGGCGGCGGUGCCGCGGGUGACGUGGGGCUGGGUGCGGUGCCCGCAGUUCCGCUCGUGCAUGCUGAAGCUGGUGUUCUGCGGGAGGAGCCCCUUCGGGGACGAGGACGACGUCUCGGGCUCC
Long non-coding RNA from Anser brachyrhynchus (Pink-footed goose), 1153 nucleotides. Lineage: Eukaryota; Metazoa; Chordata; Aves; Anseriformes; Anatidae. The record is from Ensembl.